Molecule: signal recognition particle RNA, 153 nt
Filed under: Ditylum brightwellii
Lineage: Eukaryota; Bacillariophyta; Thalassiosirophyceae; Lithodesmiales; Lithodesmiaceae
Description: partial Protozoan signal recognition particle RNA
Rfam family: Protozoan signal recognition particle RNA
Source: RNAcentral
GUACAGACAGACCGUCUCAUUAUGACUCGCCGUCUGUGUUUGUUUCUUAGCGGAAGCUAUCAUUCAGACAUAGUUAAAGUUGGGGAUACAGGGCUAGACAGGCAACUGAGCAGCCUUACUUCUCACGGUGAGUGGAUAUAAGAUUGCGGUCUU